This 500-nucleotide ribosomal RNA is filed under the name uncultured bacterium. Its description in RNAcentral is "partial 16S ribosomal RNA". It matches the Rfam family "Bacterial small subunit ribosomal RNA", at positions 30 to 523 of the family's 1533-position model. The record is from RNAcentral.
AUUGAACGCUGGCGGCAUGCCUUACACAUGCAAGUCGAACGGCAGCACGGGAGCAAUCCUGGUGGCGAGUGGCGAACGGGUGAGUAAUGUAUCGGAACGUGCCCAGUCGUGGGGGAUAACGCAGCGAAAGCUGUGCUAAUACCGCAUACGAUCUAUGGAUGAAAGCGGGGGAUCGCAAGACCUCGCGCGACUGGAGCGGCCGAUAUCAGAUUAGCUAGUUGGUGGGGUAAAGGCUCACCAAGGCGACGAUCUGUAGCUGGUCUGAGAGGACGACCAGCCACACUGGAACUGAGACACGGUCCAGACUCCUACGGGAGGCAGCAGUGGGGAAUUUUGGACAAUGGGCGCAAGCCUGAUCCAGCAAUGCCGCGUGCAGGAUGAAGGCCUUCGGGUUGUAAACUGCUUUUGUACGGAGCGAAAAGGCUUUCUCUAAUACAGGGGGCUCAUGACGGUACCGUAAGAAUAAGCACCGGCUAACUACGUGCCAGCCGCCGCCGUAA